RNAcentral lists this long non-coding RNA (1431 nucleotides) under Homo sapiens (human). Its description in RNAcentral is "long non-coding RNA NONHSAT193616.1". The record is from RNAcentral. Lineage: Eukaryota; Metazoa; Chordata; Mammalia; Primates; Hominidae.
GAAUUUUCUGUCAUCAUUAAAAAGCAGAAGGAGAUAAUUAAAAAACUGAUUGAAAGAAAACAGGCACAAAUUCGAAAAGUUUACCCUGGACUUUCAUGUUUUAAAGAUGGAGUUCGACAGAUUCCUAUAGAAAGCAUUCCUGGAAUUAGAGAGACAGGCUGGAAACCGAGUGGAAAAGAGAAAAGUAAAGAGCCCAGAGACCCUGACCAGCUUUACAGCACGCUCAAGAGCAUCCUCCAGCAGGUGAAGGUGGGUGUCCUCUUUAUUCACCUCAUGCAAAUAUUUUGAAAUGAUUUCCCACAUGGAAUUUCCAUAUUAGAUACCUUACUUUUUUCUUUACCCAAGAGCCAUCAAAGCGCUUGGCCCUUCAUGGAACCUGUGAAGAGAACAGAAGCUCCAGGAUAUUAUGAAGUUAUAAGGUUCCCCAUGGGUAAUACCAUUAACAUUUUCUAAGUAUAGAUUUAAAACUCUGGAUGGCGGUGUGGGGGACAAAUGGUUGCUGAGGUUGAUUUGUACUCCUCUGCUUAGGGUAGGAAGUGUAUGACGGGUGGUGGGAUUCCAUGCACCGUGGCGGGUCAGUGAUGGCAGAGAAGUGGGUGGCUGUGUUCAUUAGAGACAUUCUGCAGCUGUCGUUUAGAGCCCACAUGAGCUUAACGACACUAGACGCAGAAAAUCCACGGUAACUGCAGACAGCACUAGAUUUGAAAGCUGGCACUUUAGAUAUAACUUUGCUUAUAUUCUAACUCUUUGGUGCAAAUAGAAAAACAUCAGCUUAUCCUCUUGAUAUGCUUUGCGUCUGUCGUAAAUAGGUAUUCCUUUGAAUAAUUAUUCAGGAUAAUAAUGAAAGAAGUUAGAUUAAAGUACUUGACUGCUGUACUUUCAGAGGGAGAAAUUCUACUUACCACAAUUCUUGAUUUUCCAUGCCCUUGAUGGGUACUGUUAAUGUCACUGUAUAUACUCUUUAUUUUACGCUUUGUCUCAUAUCCAAAAUCAAACAAAAAAGGAUGUCUUCAGAAAUGUAGAAUUGUGCAGUUUGGUGCUGUGCCCACACCACUCUAAAAUUAAUGAUUAAUUGAAUCAUUUGAGGUCGCUCAAAUUAAACUAAUUUGGCAUUGUGUGGGUGACAACCAGUUGAAAUGUUUUCUUUUUAUCAGCUAUGUGGCCAUAUUUUUGGAGAGAGCCAGAGUCUUCUGUCUCUUUUCUACCUGUAAUCUAUUCCAGGUGCUAAGAACUGUGAAAGUCCAGCUUGGGUAAUGUAGUGAGACCCUGUCUCUACAAAAAGUAAAAAAUUAGCCAGGUGCAGUGGCACACGCCUGAGGCCCCAGCUACUUGGGAGGCUGAGGUUGGAGGAUCACUUGAGCCUGGGAGUUUGAGGCUGUAGUGAGCUGUGAUUGCACCACUGCACUUCAGCCUGGGCACUGGAGGGAGACC